CCUGCUGUAGUUCAGUUGGUUUAGAGCACUUCUCUGAUAAGGAAGAUGUCCUUGGUUCGAGUCCAAGCAGCAGGA
This 75-nucleotide transfer RNA is filed under the name Caudoviricetes sp. RNAcentral's name for it is "tRNA-Ile". It matches the Rfam family "tRNA". Rfam says of the family: Transfer RNA (tRNA) molecules are approximately 80 nucleotides in length. The record is from RNAcentral. Lineage: Duplodnaviria; Heunggongvirae; Uroviricota; Caudoviricetes.